CCUACGGGCGGCAGCAGUGAGGAAUAUUGGUCAAUGGGCGGGAGCCUGAACCAGCCAAGCCGCGUGAGGGAAGAAGGUACAGCGUAUCGUAAACCUCUUUUGUCAGGGAACAAAGGCGGGGACUAGUCCCCGGAUGAGGGUACCUGAAGAAAAAGCAUCGGCUAACUCCGUGCCAGCAGCCGCGGUAAUACGGGGGAUGCGAGCGUUAUCCGGAUUUAUUGGGUUUAAAGGGUGCGCAGGCGGCCUGUUAAGUCAGCGGGAAAAGCCCGGGGCUCAACCCCGGCGAGCCGUUGAGACUGGCGGGCUGGAGUUGGAGAGAAGUACGCGGAAUGCGCGGUGUAGCGGUGAAAUGCUUAGAUAUCGCGCAGAACCCCGAUUGCGAAGGCAGCGUACCGGCUCCACACUGACGCUGAGGCACGAAAGCGUGGGUAUCGAACAGGAUUAGAUACCCCUGUAGUC
RNAcentral lists this ribosomal RNA (459 nucleotides) under uncultured bacterium. Its description in RNAcentral is "partial 16S ribosomal RNA". It matches the Rfam family "Bacterial small subunit ribosomal RNA", at positions 338 to 795 of the family's 1533-position model. The record is from RNAcentral.